Molecule: non-coding RNA, 709 nt
Organism: Pelobates cultripes (western spadefoot toad)
Lineage: Eukaryota; Metazoa; Chordata; Amphibia; Anura; Pelobatidae
Source: the annotation of a GenBank genome assembly
AGCGGCUUUAUAGUAACUUCAUAUUUCACAAAAAUAGAAUAUGUAAAUAUCAUUAAAUUUGUAUGAAUUGCACGUUUACAAAAAUAGCUUCACAUUUUAUUUUAUGGAGCAUAUUGUGAUAUCGUUCACAGUAUAAUUACAUCCCCAUCCAUUCAGUGUUUGCAGUCUGCAGGUGAGACGAGUCUUUAGAAUCUUUAUGACGUUUUUGGUGAGAUCGUUCUACAACAGUUUGGCAUUGUGACUUAAAGGCAUGUGACAAAAAAGGCUUAGCUUGUAACUUGAUAAAUCUGCACUUGCUUUUUUUUAAUGGUUUCCAGAAAACAUGAUACCGAAAGCAUUAAAGGACCACUAUAGUGCCAGGAAAACAUACUCGCCAGGCUCUGGGGAGAGGAAAGGGUUAAAUCUUACCUUUUUUUCCAGCGCCAGGCGGGGAGCUCUCUUCCUCCUCUCUGCCUCCGAGCCUCCUUUUCGGCUGAAUGCGCAUGCGCGGCAGGAGAUGCGCGCGCAUUCAGCCUGUCUCAUAAGAAAGCAUUCAUAAUGCUUUCCUAUGGACGCUUGCGUCUUCUCACUGUGAUUUUCACAGUGAGAAGCACGCAAACCCCUCUAGCGGCUGUCAAUGAGACAGCCACUAGAGGCUUUAGAGGCUGGAUUAACCCAUUUAUAAACAUAGCAGUUUCUCUGAAACAGCUAUGUUUAUAAAAAAAAAAAA